Molecule: long non-coding RNA, 652 nt
Organism: Suricata suricatta (meerkat)
Lineage: Eukaryota; Metazoa; Chordata; Mammalia; Carnivora; Herpestidae
Exons: 4
Source: RefSeq, a predicted model, not a curated record
CCUGAACCUCGCAUCACCUCCUGCCAGCCCAGCCUAACCAACACCAAUUCACACCUCAGGUUCCAGAAAACAUGAAUGGGUGAGCCCUGAUGUCCUGGUACCAGCAGCUCAUUUUACUGUGAUGCAUACCGUGCACCCAGGGCUCGAGCAAGCAUCGCGUGUGCUGGGAUGCUCGUUGUGAGCUCGUGGUCUGCUAGAAGCAUCAGGCUGGAAGGAAUCCGAGAGGACUCUGAGAAGGUGACACCAUGACAACAGAAGUGACGGCUGACAGGCUGACACGGGGGAUGGAGACGAAGCUCAGAGGCAAUCUCAAGACUGUGUACUAGGUAGUCCCAGAAUAGAUGAGCCCUGCAUCAGCGUAAACUACAGCCACGCGGCAGAUGAACUUCCCCGCAGCCAGCAAAGUCCAUGGCGCCGCUCUUGGCUGCCAAGUGCGCCAGAAGGAGAUCUCCACCUCGGGGUGCCUCAUGCAAGACUCUGCACCAUGCAGUGAAGCGUCACCUGCUGUCCCCGUGCUCGGGGACUGAGAACUUUUUAUGUUUGUCCUUCCCCACGUUUCCUUCUUUCAUUUCCCACGCCGCUCCCUUGCCUGGCUGUGAUGGAAGGUCUGCGUAUCGCCUCCGCCUCCAUCUCGCCAGCGAAUUUGUUUUUG